This 257-nucleotide ribosomal RNA is filed under the name uncultured archaeon. RNAcentral describes it as "partial 16S ribosomal RNA". It matches the Rfam family "Bacterial small subunit ribosomal RNA", at positions 521 to 776 of the family's 1533-position model. The record is from RNAcentral.
UAAGACGAACCGUGCGAACGUUAUUCGGAAUCACUGGGCUUAAAGCGCGUGUAGGCGGGUCGGCGCGUCGGACGCUGAAAUCCCCCGGCUCAACCGGGGAACGGGCGCCGAAACGGCCGGCCUGGAGGGGGGUAGGGGGCGCUGGAACUCACGGUGGAGCGGUGAAAUGCGUUGAGAUCGUGAGGAACGCCCGCGGCGAAAGCGAGCGCCUGGACCCUUUCUGACGCUGAGACGCGAAAGCCAGGGGAGCGAACGGG